Molecule: ribosomal RNA, 327 nt
Filed under: uncultured Lachnospiraceae bacterium
Lineage: Bacteria; Bacillati; Bacillota; Clostridia; Lachnospirales; Lachnospiraceae
Description: bacterial SSU rRNA
Rfam family: Bacterial small subunit ribosomal RNA
Source: RNAcentral
GAUGAACGCUGGCGGCGUGCCUAACACAUGCAAGUCGAACGGGAACUUUGGAAUGAAGGUUCGCUGGAUUUCCAAAAAUUCUAGUGGCGGACGGGUGAGUAACGCGUGGGUAACCUGCCCUUAAGAGGUGAAUAACAGUGAGAAAUUAUUGCUAAUACACCAUAUGCUUACAGUAUCGCAUGAUACAGUGAGGAAAGGAAUUUCGCUUAAGGAUGGACCCGCGUUUGAUUAGCCAGUUGGCAGGGUAAAAGCCUACCAAAGCAACGAUCAAUAGCCGGCCUGAGAGGGCGAACGGCCACAUUGGAACUGAGACACGGUCCAAACUCC